Molecule: ribosomal RNA, 19 nt
Filed under: Quercus environmental sample
Lineage: Eukaryota; Viridiplantae; Streptophyta; Magnoliopsida; Fagales; Fagaceae
Description: partial 28S ribosomal RNA
Source: RNAcentral
AACGCGAACCCCAGUCAGG